Molecule: long non-coding RNA, 3633 nt
Filed under: Citrus x clementina
Lineage: Eukaryota; Viridiplantae; Streptophyta; Magnoliopsida; Sapindales; Rutaceae
Description: Citrus clementina (C. clementina) long non-coding RNA (CCLE_LNC006181)
Source: RNAcentral
AUUUAUAAAUAUUAUAAAUAUUAUAUCUAACAUAAUGAGUAUCUAUAAUAUAAUAUAUUAUAGAUACUCAUUAUGCGUGUCUUCUCGUGCGUUAUAACGCACGUAAUUUUAAUCCUCGUGUGGGACAUUAGGGGGGGUCUUAAAAACUCGAUUCUCUUUACUAAACAUCAUCAUACAACAAGUUUUUAUCCUGGGGUGGGUACCCUUUUAAGGCACUUCUUACAUCAAGCAACAAACACAAACACCAAACCUCCUGACCUCCGAACUCGACAACUCAAACUCAACAACUCAAACUCAACAACUCAACUCCUGACCUCCGAACUCAACAACUCAACUCCUCAACUUUCAACUCAACCUACCCAUUCCUUGUUCCUAUUUCCAAAUUUCCUAGUUCCGAUUUCCCUCUCCUCUAAUUCCUAGUUUCAGUUUCGACCCUUCUCUUCUCCCCUCCGUGGUCCCCUUGCCGGAUCGGGGACCACUUCGGCCUCGCUUCGCUCCUUUUCUCUCAAGGUUUCUCAAAAAAGAAAAAGAAAUUACGUAAGUGAGCACAGAAACUUCUACCUUCAUCCGAAGUGGGAGCUCUAAAGGCUGUGCUUGGGGUAUCUUUCGAGAAUUGAUACCCCGGGGAAGUGGUAUUGGUGACACCACUUCCCUAUGCCCAUGUUGACCGACGUUGGCUCCAUACGGAGGGAACGGGGGAUUCUUUUGGUUGGGGAAUGUUUUUUGCUUAACACAUCAAAUCACAAAAAAACAUCCCCCUUAAGAAUCCCCCUCCGGUGGUGAAACAGAGAGAGACUGGCCCUUUAGGGACCAGUCUUUCCUUUAAUAAAUAUAACUCUCUCUAUUAUAAUAGAGAGAGCUAUAUUUAUUAUGUUAAUAAAUAGAUAUCUCUAUAUUAUAAUAUAGAGAUAUCUAUUUAUUAUGUAUUUAUAUAUUAUAAAAAUAUAUAAAUAUUAAAUUUAAAUAUUUAAAAUAAAUAUUAAAAUUAAAAAAAAAUAUUUAUAAAUAUUAUAAAUAUUAUAUCUAACAUAAUGAGUAUCUAUAAUAUAAUAUAUUAUAGAUACUCAUUAUGCGUGUCUUCUCGUGCGUUAUAACGCACGUAAUUUUAAUCCUCGUGUGGGACAUUAGGGGGGGUCUUAAAAACUCGAUUCUCUUUACUAAACAUCAUCAUACAACAAGUUUUUAUCCUGGGGUGGGUACCCUUUUAAGGCACUUCUUACAUCAAGCAACAAACACAAACACCAAACCUCCUGACCUCCGAACUCGACAACUCAAACUCAACAACUCAAACUCAACAACUCAACUCCUGACCUCCGAACUCAACAACUCAACUCCUCAACUUUCAACUCAACCUACCCAUUCCUUGUUCCUAUUUCCAAAUUUCCUAGUUCCGAUUUCCCUCUCCUCUAAUUCCUAGUUUCAGUUUCGACCCUUCUCUUCUCCCCUCCGUGGUCCCCUUGCCGGAUCGGGGACCACUUCGGCCUCGCUUCGCUCCUUUUCUCUCAAGGUUUCUCAAAAAAGAAAAAGAAAUUACGUAAGUGAGCACAGAAACUUCUACCUUCAUCCGAAGUGGGAGCUCUAAAGGCUGUGCUUGGGGUAUCUUUCGAGAAUUGAUACCCCGGGGAAGUGGUAUUGGUGACACCACUUCCCUAUGCCCAUGUUGACCGACGUUGGCUCCAUACGGAGGGAACGGGGGAUUCUUUUGGUUGGGGAAUGUUUUUUGCUUAACACAUCAAAUCACAAAAAAACAUCCCCCUUAAGAAUCCCCCUCCGGUGGUGAAACAGAGAGAGACUGGCCCUUUAGGGACCAGUCUUUCCUUUAAUAAAUAUAACUCUCUCUAUUAUAAUAGAGAGAGCUAUAUUUAUUAUGUUAAUAAAUAGAUAUCUCUAUAUUAUAAUAUAGAGAUAUCUAUUUAUUAUGUAUUUAUAUAUUAUAAAAAUAUAUAAAUAUUAAAUUUAAAUAUUUAAAAUAAAUAUUAAAAUUAAAAAAAAAUAUUUAUAAAUAUUAUAAAUAUUAUAUCUAACAUAAUGAGUAUCUAUAAUAUAAUAUAUUAUAGAUACUCAUUAUGCGUGUCUUCUCGUGCGUUAUAACGCACGUAAUUUUAAUCCUCGUGUGGGACAUUAGGGGGGGUCUUAAAAACUCGAUUCUCUUUACUAAACAUCAUCAUACAACAAGUUUUUAUCCUGGGGUGGGUACCCUUUUAAGGCACUUCUUACAUCAAGCAACAAACACAAACACCAAACCUCCUGACCUCCGAACUCGACAACUCAAACUCAACAACUCAAACUCAACAACUCAACUCCUGACCUCCGAACUCAACAACUCAACUCCUCAACUUUCAACUCAACCUACCCAUUCCUUGUUCCUAUUUCCAAAUUUCCUAGUUCCGAUUUCCCUCUCCUCUAAUUCCUAGUUUCAGUUUCGACCCUUCUCUUCUCCCCUCCGUGGUCCCCUUGCCGGAUCGGGGACCACUUCGGCCUCGCUUCGCUCCUUUUCUCUCAAGGUUUCUCAAAAAAGAAAAAGAAAUUACGUAAGUGAGCACAGAAACUUCUACCUUCAUCCGAAGUGGGAGCUCUAAAGGCUGUGCUUGGGGUAUCUUUCGAGAAUUGAUACCCCGGGGAAGUGGUAUUGGUGACACCACUUCCCUAUGCCCAUGUUGACCGACGUUGGCUCCAUACGGAGGGAACGGGGGAUUCUUUUGGUUGGGGAAUGUUUUUUGCUUAACACAUCAAAUCACAAAAAAACAUCCCCCUUAAGAAUCCCCCUCCGGUGGUGAAACAGAGAGAGACUGGCCCUUUAGGGACCAGUCUUUCCUUUAAUAAAUAUAACUCUCUCUAUUAUAAUAGAGAGAGCUAUAUUUAUUAUGUUAAUAAAUAGAUAUCUCUAUAUUAUAAUAUAGAGAUAUCUAUUUAUUAUGUAUUUAUAUAUUAUAAAAAUAUAUAAAUAUUAAAUUUAAAUAUUUAAAAUAAAUAUUAAAAUUAAAAAAAAAUAUUUAUAAAUAUUAUAAAUAUUAUAUCUAACAUAAUGAGUAUCUAUAAUAUAAUAUAUUAUAGAUACUCAUUAUGCGUGUCUUCUCGUGCGUUAUAACGCACGUAAUUUUAAUCCUCGUGUGGGACAUUAGGGGGGGUCUUAAAAACUCGAUUCUCUUUACUAAACAUCAUCAUACAACAAGUUUUUAUCCUGGGGUGGGUACCCUUUUAAGGCACUUCUUACAUCAAGCAACAAACACAAACACCAAACCUCCUGACCUCCGAACUCGACAACUCAAACUCAACAACUCAAACUCAACAACUCAACUCCUGACCUCCGAACUCAACAACUCAACUCCUCAACUUUCAACUCAACCUACCCAUUCCUUGUUCCUAUUUCCAAAUUUCCUAGUUCCGAUUUCCCUCUCCUCUAAUUCCUAGUUUCAGUUUCGACCCUUCUCUUCUCCCCUCCGUGGUCCCCUUGCCGGAUCGGGGACCACUUCGGCCUCGCUUCGCUCCUUUUCUCUCAAGGUUUCUCAAAAAAGAAAAAGAAAUUACGUAAGUGAGCACAGAAACUUCUACCUUCAUCCGAAGUGGGAGCUCUAAAGGCUGUGCUUGGGGUAUCUUUCGAGAAUUGAUACCCCGGGGAAGUGGUAUUGGUGA